RNAcentral lists this ribosomal RNA (253 nucleotides) under uncultured bacterium. RNAcentral describes it as "partial 16S ribosomal RNA". It matches the Rfam family "Bacterial small subunit ribosomal RNA", at positions 524 to 776 of the family's 1533-position model. The record is from RNAcentral.
UACGGAGGGGGUUAGCGUUGUUCGGAAUUACUGGGCGUAAAGCGCGCGUAGGCGGAUCAGAAAGUAGGGGGUGAAAUCCCAGGGCUCAACCCUGGAAUUGCCUUCUAAACUCCUGGUCUUGAGUUCGAGAGAGGUGAGUGGAAUUCCGAGUGUAGAGGUGAAAUUCGUAGAUAUUCGGAGGAACACCAGUGGCGAAGGCGGCUCACUGGCUCGAUACUGACGCUGAGGUGCGAAAGCGUGGGGAGCAAACAGG